UCGAUUUCGUUGAAAAGGAAAGUAAGUUUGGAAACUUUGCAGAGAGGCUCUGGCUGGUGAGAAGAGUCAAGUAAGAAAAGCUGAAAAUGGCCUUGGAGAAUAAUUUGUCGAUAAGUAGGCAAAUUCGGAACUGUUCGACCGUUAAAACGAACGCCAAUCUCUCUUUUUGAGAUGUUGGGCUUGAGGGAAGGAAACUUCCGAAAAAAGGUGGUACCGCGAUACGUCGUCCUUUUA
This 234-nucleotide non-coding RNA is filed under the name Enterococcus faecium. RNAcentral's name for it is "T-box sequence". It matches the Rfam family "T-box leader". Rfam says of the family: Uncharged tRNA acts as the effector for transcription antitermination of genes in the T-box leader family. T-boxes are found upstream of many aminoacyl-tRNA synthetase genes and some amino acid biosynthetic genes usually in Gram-positive bacteria. Lineage: Bacteria; Bacillati; Bacillota; Bacilli; Lactobacillales; Enterococcaceae. The record is from RNAcentral.